CACUCUUCACUCCACACACUUCACUUUGUUUGCACUGUCUUUUGUCCUGCACUGUCUUAUGUGUCUUGUCAUAACCAGUUAUAACACGGUUUAAAGGGACCCACAUUUCUUUUUUGUGUUACUGUGAUGCUGGAAACAGUAAAACAUAUUAUUUAUCUAAACAAGACAAAUUCCAAAUCUCUUAAUAUUUAGACUUGACGAUAGGGCUGUAUUUAACGACCUGCUGGGAAUCUCCCACCUAAGACAGAAACAGUAAUUGUAAGGUCAUACCUGUUUUAUCAGUUUAAUAAUGCAGAAAAAGUUUUUACACUGUUUUACUGGCACUUCAUUAAACUGACUGCAGGCCAUUUUACCAAGAUGUUUCAGACUUUAAAAAACAAGUUUUUAGGCAGUGCUUCAUCAGUUAUCUGAAGGUGUUUGCUUGAAAGCAUUCUCUGAGCAUUACCUAAAGUAUUCUUCAUCAUUAGAGUCUACAUCAGUCAAGUGCUCCUCAUAAGGGGCUUUCAAACAGGGUGACCUACUUUAAUGACCUACUUGUAAAGCUUCUGAACACUCAGAUGUACUGCCAGACUCUUUUACAGAUUCGUCAUCUAACUGUGACCUUAUCUUCAUCAUAACUUACCCCUGAGUACCAGGAAACAAAUGAUCAUUAUAACUUACACUUACAAGAGAAAGAAACAAAACCAAAUCAAAUCUUCUCUUCCUCAAAAAUCACCAACAUGGUGUAACAUGCGGUGAAAGAUGAGGCAGAGGAUCCAAAUACAAAGUAAUCCAGGGAAGGGCAAUGACACAACAGGAUGAGAAACACAAACACACACAACAGCCAUAAAGGACAACAACCGACAGGUGUGUGUAUCAGGUGUGUGUAUUCGGUGUGUGUUUCAGGUGUGUGUAUUCGGUGUGUGUAUCAGGUGUGUGCAAAACAAUAAUAAAGUAAUGACAUAUUAAAUAAGUCUAUUGAAGUGGAAGUGAAAAGGACUGUGUUCUCCUGAAACAUCACACUGUGCUGGACUGCGCUGUGUUCUGCUGGAACAUCACACUGUGCUGGACUGUGCUGUGUUCUGCUGGAACAUCACACUGUGCUGGACUGCACUGUGUUCUGCUGGAACAUCACACUGUGCUGGACUGCG
This is a long non-coding RNA of Tachysurus fulvidraco (yellow catfish), 1130 nucleotides long. RefSeq lists it as uncharacterized. NCBI's taxonomy places the organism in Eukaryota, Metazoa, Chordata, Actinopteri, Siluriformes, Bagridae. The record is from RefSeq and is a predicted model, not a curated record. The transcript is spliced from 4 exons.